Molecule: long non-coding RNA, 1208 nt
Filed under: Cyclopterus lumpus (lumpfish)
Lineage: Eukaryota; Metazoa; Chordata; Actinopteri; Perciformes; Cyclopteridae
Description: lncRNA (ENSCLMG00005015464.1)
Source: RNAcentral
CUGUUAUUUAAAAAUGCAAUUUUUUCCGGUGUUUUCGUUUUAUUUUCCAUACACAGUACUUGAGACGGAUGACCAGGAGUUCUACAAAACUAAAGUCUGCUUCAUCCUAAACAAUGACGUGAGUGAAAUGGAUUUGGUGUUUGCCGAGGAGAAGUACAGCACAGUCGGGACAGCUGGAGAAGGUGGUGGAGCUAAUAUCAGGGGGAUCUCAAAUCGCUGUUAAUAAUGAAAACAAGAUUCAUUAUCUCAACCUGCUGGCCCAGUACAGACUAGCCAGCCAGGUGAGAGAUGAGGUGGAACACUUCCUGAAAGGUGAGGAAACACACAGCUGCAGCCUGCCACUUUCUUUGCCAAUUCCUCUAAUUUGAGAUCUCCGGUAAUGUGCAUGUAAUUAGUGUAAUUUCCUUUUUCAAUUGCAGGCUUGAACGAACUGGUUCCAGAAAACCUGCUAGCCAUAUUUGAUGAGAAUGAGUUAGAGGUAUGUGUGAUGAAUAUAAUACAAUCCAGUUGAUCUUUAAAACACUGCUGGGUAAUAGUUAUUUGUUUUCCUUUUUAAUCACUUCAGCUGUGAUGUGUGGCACCGGUGAUAUAAACGUGCAGGACUUCAAGGACCCAUGCUGUGAUUGUUGGAGGAUCAUGGCACUUUAGAGAGAAAGUAUGUCACAGGAACUGUUUCUCCAUUUUCUUCAAACUAGCAGGCCAGUGAUUACAUUGCCUAAGCAUUUUUGAUUUUUCUGUCUCAACAGGUGAUGAGGUGGUUCUGGGCCGUGGAUGUCCAGCUUCACCCAGGAGGAGUUGGCGCGUCUGCUACAGUUCACCACCGGCUUCCUCUCAGCUGCCCCCUGGGGGAUUCAACACCCUUUGCCCCUCCUUCCAGAUCAUUGCUGCCCCCCACACACAGCACCUUGCCCACUGCACACACAUGGUGAGUAGGAAAACACCGGCAGGUUUUCUCUGUCCUCUCUCGCCUCUCUCACUCACUAGAGGCAUACAAUGGUCAAAAGAAUAAGUUAUAGAAUAUCACCACAUUAUAAAUGUUUUAGAUCUACAAAUGUUUCAAUUAUGUGACAAUGAGCUUAAUCUAGAAAUGUUACAGGAAAUGCUUGAUUGGGAUCUAAACAUUAGCUGAUUGUUGUCCAAUUUUUUUUUAUCAAGUUUUAACAGCUGUGUCUCCCUACGUACGAACUCCCUAUGAGGAACUGCACAAG